GAUGAACGCUGGCGGUGUGCCUAAUACAUGCAAGUCGAACGCGUUGGCCCAAUUGAUUGACGGUGCUUGCACCUGAUUGAUUUUGGUUGCCAACGAGUGGCGGACGGGUGAGUAACACGUAGGUAACCUGCCCAGAAGCGGGGGACAACAUUUGGAAACAGAUGCUAAUACCGCAUAACAGCGUUGUUCGCAUGAACAACGCUUAAAAGAUGGCUUCUCGCUAUCACUUCUGGAUGGACCUGCGGUGCAUUAGCUUGUUGGUGGGGUAACGGCCUACCAAGGCGAUGAUGCAUAGCCGAGUUGAGAGACUGAUCGGCCACAAUGGGACUGAGACACGGCCCAUACUCCUACGGGAGGCAGCAGUAGGGAAUCUUCCACAAUGGGCGCAAGCCUGAUGGAGCAACACCGCGUGAGUGAAGAAGGGCUUCGGCUCGUAAAGCUCUGUUGUUAAAGAAGAACACGUAUGAGAGUAACUGUUCAUACGUUGACGGUAUUUAACCAGAAAGUCACGGCUAACUACGUGCCAGCAGCCGCGGUAAUACGUAGGUGGCAAGCGUUAUCCGGAUUUAUUGGGCGUAAAGAGAGUGCAGGCGGUUUUCUAAGUCUGAUGUGAAAGCCUUCGGCUUAACCGGAGAAGUGCAUCGGAAACUGGAUAACUUGAGUGCAGAAGAGGGUAGUGGAACUCCAUGUGUAGCGGUGGAAUGCGUAGAUAUAUGGAAGAACACCAGUGGCGAAGGCGGCUACCUGGUCUGCAACUGACGCUGAGACUCGAAAGCACGGGUAGCGAACAGG
Molecule: ribosomal RNA, 792 nt
Filed under: uncultured Lactobacillus sp.
Lineage: Bacteria; Bacillati; Bacillota; Bacilli; Lactobacillales; Lactobacillaceae
Description: bacterial SSU rRNA
Rfam family: Bacterial small subunit ribosomal RNA
Source: RNAcentral